This 72-nucleotide transfer RNA is filed under the name Schistosoma japonicum. RNAcentral's name for it is "tRNA-OTHER". The record is from RNAcentral. Lineage: Eukaryota; Metazoa; Platyhelminthes; Trematoda; Strigeidida; Schistosomatidae.
AGCUCAGUGGCCCAAUGGUAAAGCGCUUGCCGCGGAGCCAGAGGGUCCUGGGUUCGAUCCCCGACGGGGUCG